AUGGCAAAGCCCAUUUAGCACCAUCUCUCAGAUCAGUUUUCUGUGGGCAUCGGGUAGGUGGACUCUUCCCUCACUCAGCAUCUCACCAGGCUGAGAUCUUGGUGUCAGCUGGCUGAGUUCUCACCAGGAACUUGGCGUCUGUUCCAGGCUCAUCCCGGUUAUUAGCAACCCCUUCCCUUUACAGGGCUCAAAUUCCUGUUUCCUGACUGGCUGUCAGGGGACAUGCUCAGUCUCUCACAUUCACCCUCCCAGGCCCACUCACAGACUCUUCCUCACACACACCUUAGCUUACAGUCUCUCUCUCUCUUCCUACCCACCUACCGCCUCUCUCCACCCUCUCCCUACCUCCUUCCCAGGAAGGGCACAAGCUCUUUUAAGGGCUGGCCUGGUUCUCACUAAAGACAAUCUCCCCUGCUUAAAGUCAUCCACUUGGAACUUUUAUUACCGACACAAUAGUUCGCUCAAAGAAAUAAAUUAGUUUUAAGACAGAGAGAGAGAGAGACAGAGACAGAGAGACAGAGAGACAGAGACAGAGAGACAGAGACAGAGAGAGACAGAGAGAGACAGAGAGAGACAGAGAGACAGAGACAGAGAGACAGAGACAGAGAGACAGAGACAGAGAGAGAGACAGAGAGAGAGACAGAGAGAGAGACAGAGAGAGAGAGUCUACAUUCAUUCAGCUGUCUGGGGUUCUACCUUAAACUUUUGCCUACAGAGUCAAAGCUUCAAGAUUUUCAGAGGGCACUCAUUCUUCCUACUGAAUGAAACCCAUGUUUCUUGGCAUUUAAGACUCCACAGUCUACCCAUCUGUGCAGACUUAGCUGCACUCGCUCUGUGCCCCACACUGUAUUCAGGCAUUACGGCUGUAGCACGCUAUUCAUCCGUCUGCACCUUUGUACACUGCAGAGGUUCUUCCUUCUGCUCUUUAGCUAAUUCCUGUGCACGAACCUGAGAAGACUCUUUGAGAGACAGACAGGGUAGGUUUGUUUCUCCUCUAGGUAUGCUUCUCUGGAUUCACAACAUUUAUUGAACACCUACUAUGUUCCAGGCACCAGAAUAGUCUCCCGCCAUCUUUCUAUCUGCCUUGCUCUCUCCUCUCUUAAUCUGCCUCCUUCUAUCCUCCCUCACCCUUCCUCUCUUCCUCUCUCUCUGUCCUUCUCUGAGCUCUUCUUCCACUGGGGAGGCAGGAAACCACAAACUGAGCACUGUCAGAUAACAGUGGGAAGAUCUGUCAGAUUAUCUCAGGGUCAUGAUAAAGGGGUAAACAGUGUGGGUGACACCAGUGUCACUCUGUAUGCCUUCAACCUGUAAUACGUUCUGGGAUAGGCAGCUGAACAGAGACAUGAGGGAGGGGUGGGAGGAAACGCUACAGAAAAGGUCAUGACUGUCUCUGUUCCCUUUGUCCCCAUUAUGGCCAGAUAGAUGGAUGAAUGAACAGUCACAACAAAGCUCGACAGGCAAAACCACCGGGAAGUACAAAGGCCCUGUGCUAGGGACUCCCUCUGUGCUCAGUUAAUAUCCGCCUCGCCUUAAAGAAGCCUUUGGAAUUUUUUUCUAGGAAGAAUGCUAGUCUUGGAAAUUGAGGAGGAAGAAAAAUGUCAGUAUCAGUUGAGUUCCUGGGUAGGUUCACCACCAAACAAAGCAGGGUACCAAGUACCAGAAAAACAGGCUGGUUUCACAUCAGGGUGCUAAGACUUGGGUAGCCCCUAAGCCCUAAGCAAGGACUUCGAGGCAUAACCAUAGGGCUAACCUUCACACACCAAUGAGUAGAGUCUUAGGGACAUGGGCAACCUUGACACAUCCCAGCUCCAGCUGCUAAUUGGGUUGUCAUUCUCAAGACAUAUUUUACACUUGGAGUCUGUAUCGCCACUUUCUUAUUUCUUUGGAAAUCAUGCUUUACCGUCCUGUCUUCUGACUUUUUGGGGGUUGGGAGCAAACUUAUGUCUUCUCUGCAUGGUCAAGGAACCAAAAUGGGUAGAGCACAUCCAGAAAGAAGUAGAACUAGUCAGGGCUGGUCUUUUGACAGGGCUUUUCUACUUAUGAAGAAGAGGAGGGAGCUUGUCAAGGUCACUUGAAAAAGCAUGUUUGGUUUGGCAGCCUUUGGAGGGUGAGCACCGCAAAGCUCUCUCACUCAACUCCACAGAACAACAAACACACUUGUUUGUCUUCUCUGACUUUUGCCUCCUUUCUGGGCCUGCUCUGAUGUCAGUGCUGUUUUUCCUGCUUUGCUUACAUAACCUUGUCUGUCUACUUUGAGAUUCUACUGCCUCAAAACUUUGGUUUGCUGGGCAUCUAAGAACAGUGCAACAUGGUGGAUUUUCAGCCUCGGUUCAAACCACUAACUCAUGCGCUCUGUCUGCAUGACUUAAUUCGCAUUUAGGAGACAGGAAAAAGCUCUCCCAGCUCAUCUUUUUUUGAAUACCCAUAAACUAAAGGAUUAGUGUGGCUCAGUUGUCCACCAUUAGCUUAAUGACCUAAAGCCAGGAGGAGAGGAGACAAGAAAAGGGAUUAUAGGUUGACAAUGUAGCUUUUCAAGUGCCGGGGGCUAAAGGUGGAAAAGGUCUCCUACAAAUGAUGCAGAGAAUGAAGUAACUGACAUCUCUCAUUUGGGGAACAAGAUGUGUCAUUGAAGGGGAUUUGAGAGUCACCUGAGAAGCUUAAAUACCAGCCAGCAUUAAGCACCAAGAGUCAAGAGUAGCUUGUCAGGGGAAAAUGGAACCCAUCAAAGACAGGAUUGAAGUAGGAGAAGGCAGUGGACAACAGAGUAAAUUACAGGGAAGAAACGGCAGUAGACUGGAAGUGGUCGCUGCCCCACUCCAGUGAUUCAUUCAGGACUCUGGCCUGCUGUGAAGUCUGUAUCCUGGCCACUACCAUGUCUGUCCCCCCUCUUUAAACGUGAAGCUGCUCGCCUUGGCCUGACCCCUCAGGCACCAGUAAACAGGAGAAAAGGCUCACUGCCAGAAGACAAUGGGUUGUGUCUUUUCCUCUCAGUAUGAAGGGAAUUUCAUUGUAUCGGCUCAGCCACUGACCACAAACAAACUUGGCAGGAGGCUUUGGCCACAGUGUCAGGCCCAGUUUUCAUAAAUCCCCCUGAUCCACCCGGAAGGGUUUGGGUGAACAGCCAAGCAAUCGUGCCUCUUCUACUCCUCCCGAAUGUGUGAGAUCUCCAUUUCUGGAUGGGCCAGCCGAUGUACCGACUCAGGCAGAUACAUGCCAGUGACAGGAGGCAUAGCAUGUGAAGCACCGUCAGCACACUACCUUCCGCUGUUAAAAUAUAUGCUCUCUGUAAAAUAACUUCAUAAAGUAUGAAAAAUGCAUACAGCCUGCAACUCGGCAAGCCCUGACAAAUGCAUUCAUCAUCACCUACUCCGUGUGAGGCAGAGCGGGGGACGCUAGGGACCAGAAGGCAGGGUUUCUGUCCCCACAGAGAAGUGCUCGGAGAUAAUCACUGCUGAACAGUUAAAUGUUAAACCGAAAUCUUCCCAGUCACUUUAUUUGCACACCCCUCACUUCCACCCACAUAUUGAACUUGGAGGACGGGAAGCAAACGAGCACAGCUUGCAGCUGCUCUGGGCGUAGCUUGUUUCCAAAUCACAGUCCUUCUCAGCGCAUGCGUCAGAACUUCCAGGUCAGGACACGUGCACUGGACACACAGUCAGUAUGCAGACCGUGCAGAAUACAAACAGCAAAUACUCAGCGGUGUGUACGGUGGUGAUUUCCCUCAAACCGUCGCAAAUUCGAUCCCAUUUGGAGUGUGGGCAGCACAUCCCGGAAGUACCCCAGGAAGAGGAGUCCUACAGGUUUACGUACCAAACUGAAUUCUCGGGACGUUGAAGGAAAGUUUACUGUCCACCCUGGAUGCAGCAGAUUGGAGACCUCGGAAUAGUCUCUGUGGGGUCCUGCAUUUUCCUGGUGCUGUACAAACUGUCUUUGUGCCUCCUCCUGAGGAAGGCGCCCUUCCCAGCA
This is a non-coding RNA of Rattus norvegicus (Norway rat), 3966 nucleotides long. NCBI's taxonomy places the organism in Eukaryota, Metazoa, Chordata, Mammalia, Rodentia, Muridae. The record is from RefSeq and is a predicted model, not a curated record.